This 501-nucleotide ribosomal RNA is filed under the name uncultured bacterium. RNAcentral describes it as "partial 16S ribosomal RNA". It matches the Rfam family "Bacterial small subunit ribosomal RNA", at positions 30 to 523 of the family's 1533-position model. The record is from RNAcentral.
AUUGAACGCUGGCGGCAGGCUUAACACAUGCAAGUCGAGCGGGGGAGGUUACUUCGGUAACUGACCUAGCGGCGGACGGGUGAGUAAUGCUUAGGAAUCCGCCUAUUAGUGGGGGACAACAUUCCGAAAGGAACGCUAAUACCGCAUACGCCCUACGAGGGAAAGCAGGGGAUCUUCGGACCUUGCGCUAAUAGAUGAGCCUAAGUCGGAUUAGCUAGUUGGUGGGGUAAAGGCCUACCAAGGCGACGAUCUGUAGCGGGUCUGAGAGGAUGAUCCGCCACACUGGGACUGAGGCACGGCCCAGACUCCUACGGGAGGCAGCAGUGGGGAAUAUUGGACAAUGGGGGGAACCCUGAUCCAGCCAUGCCGCGUGUGUGAAGAAGGCCUUUUGGUUGUAAAGCACUUUAAGCGAGGAGGAGGCGCUCUAGGUUAAUACCCUAGAUGCGUGGACGUUACUCGCAGAAUAAGCACCGGCUAACUCUGUGCCAGCCGCCGCAGUAA